ACGCCCAGUGACUACACACAGGAUAAGCAGGGAGAAAGAAUGGAUUGAUAAAUAAGGAAACACUGAAAUAAGGCCUGUGCUACCCUUUAUUUUCUGUAUUAGUCAUCCCUAGUUGCACUGUAUGCAUCAUGCAGUCCAUGCAGACAGGCUGCCACGAAAGCAGAGGGGCUAUCUGGCGGACAUGUGAGGGCGUUGGUACAGACGUACAGCAGAGAGGAAUAAAAGGAUAUGUGUCUCCCUCUACAAAACCCCAGCGCUUUUAAACGAAGCCAGCUUCACGUCAACAAUUACUCAAGCUUCAAGUCUUAGUUCAGAUCAUUCUCCCGAGAAACUCCUCACCUCAACCUUUGAGGAUUCAUCCAUUUCCUCCACCCUUAUAGGAAUCCCUCAGCAGAGCCACAUCAACACAGAGACUGCAUUUGUCCCCUGUUUAUUCAAGAGCUUUUAAUGCAUUUUACCCAUUUCCAUCUGUCUGCAUUUCGGUUUGGGUCCAGUAAAACUGUUACAUAAUGUGCAAAAAUAUAACCAUGGCUGGGCUUAGCAUCCUGUAGGACCUGAGUGAGAUCUUUCAUUGCCCCCCCCCCCAUCUGCUUCAUAACCACACAGUAAUUUCUAACAUAAUUUAACACUCUCAUGUGUUUUCAGCUGUUCAUGCUUUGCAGUAUGACCACUGAUCAGGAAUCGUUUCACUUAAAGGAUUUUUAUUUUGACAGAUUCAUUGCCCCUAAUUAUCAGCCAGUCCAAAAGUCAAUCUGUUGGCUUCACAGCUGAUUCGUCUGAAAGACCCAAACAAGUUGUAAAUCAUGAGAAAAAAAAAUUGUAGCUAUAACAGCAGGAUAAUAGAUUUUUGCCAUAACUGUUGUUUGUAGUAUGUUCAAGUCAAGACGGUAAAUAAUUUAACUUUCAGAAAAACAGCUUGUUUAAAACAACAUUUUGAGGUGUGUGUCUACAGAAGCAAUCAUCACAUUUUUAACCUCAAUUUACCUUCCAAGCAGAUUGGUUUAUGAGAUUUUUUUUUUACCAGUACAAGUGUACAGUACAUGUGAAAACUAAUCUGUGUUAGAUCAAGGAGAGUGGCCACAGCAGUGAAUAAACUGGUUGAUAACACAGCCAAGACACAGUGUAAGGGCAUUUCCUAGUUUGCCUCUAGCAUUCAAGAAUAUUUCAACCUGAUCAAUAUAGGCACGGAGCAAAUAUUAUCAAUCAGUAGAGACCCGCAGUCAAUAUCCGCAGUGGAAACUCUUGGCGGCCCGACAUGCCUUGUAUUAAAAUGAUGUUUACGUUUUCCUCACGUCUCUCUAUUGAUUAUUUUUUGGAAACUAGAAGGGAGGAAGAAGGAGAAAAACAGUGUGGUUCAGGUUUCACCUGUCAAUAAACCUUGGUCUCCAAGUCCAACAAGUAAACAGAUAUUAACAUAUGCCCAACAUCAUCUUCUUUACUGCAUGUACAACACGGACGUGGAAGCACGCUUGAACAGAGCCCAUGAAACAAUAUAAAAUAAUGAAAAAGCUGAUUGCAAAUAUGUACAACAGUUUACGAAUCCAUGUCUACAGUUUAUUAAACUGUGCCCAUCCAUGCAAAACUGGAAUCAGUUUACAAAUCGAUGCAACACAGUUUAAGAAUCCACAGAUUGCAAAUCCGUGCGCAUGGUUUUGUAAACUCUGGAUAUGGAUUUUCAAAUGUCUGUUUACCCGAGGCUUCAUAAACUUCAGACCUAAACAGACAAGAAUACAUUUAAAGUUAUGUGAUACCAAAGGUUUCAUUCGUUUUAAAAUGAAACAUCUCAUUUCAUUUCAUUGUAAUGUGAUUAUAUAAUGACAUACUUCCUUCAUGCUGACUAAUGACAGGCAAUAGCUUUUUUUUUCCCAGUGAUACACACAACUCACAACUGAAGAAAUUGUCAGUAUCCUUUGGUGUAAAUUCCUUCCUUCAUUCAUGCAUUCAUUUCACAAAUAAUAUAAGCAGCAGUCUUUAUGUUGUUUUGUUUUUUUUGUUUAAAGACAGUCAGUUGCAUUUUUUCCUCGAUAAGCUGGAAAUAGAGGAAAGUUAAGAUAAGAUACUUUUUGUCAUUGGAUGCUAUUCUAACAAACUUGUGGUUUCAAUGUUUUCUGUGUGAGUAAGCAGUUGGAAUCAUUCCUACUGCCAUUAAACAUCUAGGUUAAGUGUAUUGUAUGGAUUUUAUAGUGUAUGUGGUAAUUAUGUCGUCUCAUAAAAAGCUUUCGAAGCGAUAUUACUAAAGCAUGAUCAACCUUUGUGUCUCGUGUUGCCCUAGUAACUGAGAACACAAAAAAAACAGCUGCAUAGUCAAAAGUUAACUUGAACAUAUUGGCCUUUAAAAAAGAAAUGACACCAUAGCAGUUUAAGCCUUUGAUGUCAAGGCCGAGGUAUUAUGCGAGCCGACUGUUUUACUGCUCCGCAUAAAGCAUCUUUGUAUUCUCAUAUGACGUAAUCAAAAGCAAUAUUUUAUGGAUGGAACAAAGCAUGCUUUAUGCCAUGUAGAUCUUGUGAUGGCCCUGUGCAUUGCACAGUUGACUGAUGUUUGAUUCCUGUCUCUAAGGGCUGCCGACGCUGAGGCAGGUAAUCAGGAGAAUGAGACACAUAUUUUAAGCUGUGCCUAGUGCUAAAAAUCAGAGCAGCAGUCAGUCUCUGUGAGAUGUUUAGAGAGACCUCAUCUGACAACACACCUUUGCGUUUGGUUUCUUUGGCUCAAAAUAUAAAUACUGCAUACUAACCAGACUGUUAGUAUGCCGUAAGCAACAAACUAAAAUACAGGUAAAGCAACGUACUUCUGUUUCGAGCUCCGUUCGAUGAGCUAGCUUCAAGCUAGCGUGACCGUCGGUCCGUAGAUAUUAUUGAAGAACAAAAUGCAAACGUUCAUUUCUAAUACAAAACGUAAUCAUUUUAAUACUAAUUCCAACAUGUUAAAGGCAUUUCAGUUUGGAACUUUUAUUUUCAAUCGCUAGUUGGCUGGCUGUCGAGCUCCGCGAUAGGACAGGCAGAGAGCCACAGUGCAUUGUGGGGCCAAUAUGCUCCGUUUCAUACUUAAAAAUUCUGGCCGGUCUAGUAUACAGCCGGGUAUUUCUUGUAUACACAAAAUUGCAUACUAUGAUUUCAGAUCGUACUUCAAACUCAAAGUGACGCCACAUUGAGUAUGAAUCCAAGUAUGUGGUUUUGGAGACAGCCAUUGUGUUUGGUUUUACACACAACACCUAUACAGCACAUUUCACCACACCCACACUGUUCACAACUAACUUUACAGAUAUUUCAAAUCUACAGGUUUUUGAUCAUUUCCCUUGUAAAUAAAUAACUUAAAAUAUAAGUAUAGCCCUGUGUCUCCCAUCUUUAUGGCAGAGCUGUGGUGUGACAAUCUGUGCAGACACCUCGUUUAUUUUCAAACUCACAGUCCUGACUGUUUUUUUUUUCUGUAAAUCAUCACCUCAAAGCAAAGAGCAGCGCCUUUGAUUUAUGCCCGUGCAGUGACAUUUCAUGCCAUUUUCAAGGCCGGCAGGGGAAACAGUUUUGUGGUGAAAGGCCAAAUAUGUUUGUAUGAUAAAGCUUAGAGGAACUGCUGCUUGAGCUCAUGUGAAAGAUACAUAAUGGGAGAUGGAUGACCCUGCUCUGUCUACACUGCAUCACCUUUAAUGACUUCUUUAUUUUUAUUUACAAUAACUUUAAACUUGAUGUCUUCAUUGUCACACAUUGUCCUGCCUGUAAAUCUAACACAGGUCAAGUAGAAGGACAUUUAUCACUUGUUGAAAAGGACGCAAGUGUUAAAAGUUAAAAAAAGAGGCUUGAUUGUUGGUACACUUGUUUUUUAUGU
Molecule: long non-coding RNA, 3820 nt
Organism: Labrus bergylta (ballan wrasse)
Lineage: Eukaryota; Metazoa; Chordata; Actinopteri; Labriformes; Labridae
Source: RefSeq, a predicted model, not a curated record